AAUAUACAUACAUCAAACAUACAAUUAUACACACAAAAAAAAAAGUAGGCUAAACCCACUGGAGACUACUCCCCAGCAGAGUCGCCACUUAAUUUCUGUAGCGGUAAAUACAUGACCAUCAAGCUAUGGAUAAGCAAGACAUCAAAUAACAAGAGUCGCCAUCGUGCUUUUAUUGUUUCCAAGGGAAAAGGGAAAAGUACGAACAAAAC
RNAcentral lists this long non-coding RNA (209 nucleotides) under Lathyrus oleraceus (garden pea). RNAcentral describes it as "Pisum sativum (pea) long non-coding RNA (PSAT_LNC027923)". The record is from RNAcentral. Lineage: Eukaryota; Viridiplantae; Streptophyta; Magnoliopsida; Fabales; Fabaceae.